RNAcentral lists this long non-coding RNA (11766 nucleotides) under Coffea arabica (coffee). RNAcentral describes it as "long non-coding RNA (CARA_LNC002588)". The record is from RNAcentral. Lineage: Eukaryota; Viridiplantae; Streptophyta; Magnoliopsida; Gentianales; Rubiaceae.
CUCCAUCAAAUCACCAACUACCACCCAAAACCCUUUCUUCCUCCUCUCCUCUUGGCCGACUUCCCCUCCCCCAUUUCUCACCAAAAAUUUCAGCUCCUUGUCUUCCAUUUUUGCUUCAAGAAAACACUCCAAACUUGCUUCUUUUCUUGGUUCAUCAUACAAGCUUGAAGGGUGGCUUGAAGGAGGAAGGAACUUUAGUGGUUUAAGAGCUUAUAUACUGGUGGUUGGUCUUCAUUCUUGGAAGCAAGGUAACCCUCAAAGUUCUCAUCUUUUUCCUCUCAAAUCAUAGUAGUUAGUUAGUUCUAUCUAGUUAGUUUUUAGGUUGUUGAUGGGUUCACAAGAACCUUGACACUAGAUAGAGGACUUAAGGUGGCUUUAUAAGUAGAGGCCUUAAGGAUUUUGUAUGUUUACUUGCUUGUUUGAUGCUUGUUUUGAUGGAUUAUGGCUUAGUUUUGGUUGGAAAGUUGAAAAGAAAACUUGAAGAAUGGAUGAUGCUUGCUGUCCGAAUUUUGGCUGGAUGAAUCUCUCAUGUUAAUUUCGAAUUUUGAUGUUAUUUUGGUCCUAUAAUGCUUGAUAUAUGUUGAUGUUUAUGUGUGUUAAAUAUCUCCCAAAAAGCUUUUCAAUUGGUUGAGUUAAAGUAAGGGAAAGUGAGGUUUGCAAAUCUGUAAAAUUUUCUGAUCAGGAGACCAGACCAGUGUUCAUGUUUUGGCCCAUAACUUUUAGUUUGGGAGUUGAAAUCAGGUUCCGUUUGCGGCAUUUGAAACUAGACUCCGAUCGCUUUCCAACGGUAUAAAAUGCAUCACCUAAUUCAUUUUCUAUGAGCCAUAGUGAACCGGCAAAGAUGACUGAUUUUCCUCACUGCUUUCAUCCGAGAAACAAGCAUAGCUGCAAUUUGUAGCUCAUUUUCACCUAUCUUGCAAAAUGAAUUUUAAGAAAGUUCCUUCAAGUGAAUUUAGCAUUUUGAAUCUAGUUUUCAACGCCGCAAACCAUGCUAAAUUUUGAGUUGUGUAGUUUUAUUUAUGACCACAUUUUGAAACCCUGUCAAGUACUUCAAAACUGGAAAUUUCGUGAAACAGAUUCUAAAAGUCAGCUUUCUUAAAACUGUUGUAUCUUGGUGUAGAAAGGUCCGAAUUGAGUUUCGUUUAUUAUAUUUGAAACUAGAUUUGAAUUUCUAUUAGUAGUAUAAAUUUCAAGGGCUGAUUCUAUUUCUAUAAAUUUUUUUGAAUUUUCAAAAUUUACUGAAUUUGCAAGCCUGUUUUGCUCUGUCCUAUCUGGAACAGUGACUUUGAGCUAAGAUUUGAAUUUUGGAUUGGAGUCUGGGAAAAAUGUCUUCUAGAGAGUUUUAGUGCAUUGAAACUAGUUUCCAACGGUAUAAAGUUUUCAAAUUUUGGACUUACGAAACUUGAGAUAUGAUUUUUCCAAGUAGUGUCGCACCAAACUGGAAAUUUUCUGGUUUCAAACAAAGUACUCUUUUAAGAACUUUCAACCUUUCUUUGAGAUUGUUGGUCCGUUUUGAGUUUAAUUUCAUGGUUGGAUAUAAGGUCUCUUUGAACAUUAGCCCUUCAUUUUGAAUCUUGAUUUCCAAAGGCUUAAACUUCUCUUAAUGUGUUUCUUGGUUGCUUAACUUUGUUCGACAAUUGCAUCCCACCUUAUACUUGAGAAAUGGAUUUCAAACCCUAGUUUUAUGCCCUUGUUUUCCAUGAGUUUGAGCUCUAAAAAUGGAACGUUUUAACUAAAAGUGUAAGGAUCGAAGACAACCUAAGAGGGGGGUGAAUUUGGUAAAUUAAAAAACUAAUCAGGUUAUGAGACACUUUUUGGUUAAAUAUGAAAUUUACCCUCUUUUCUAGAUGACCACUCAAUGGAACAGUUAACAAGAAACCAAGAUUGCUUGUGAGUAGAAGAGAUGAGCAAUUUAUAUUUGCAAGACAGUAAGUAAUAGGAAAAGAAUCGCAAACCAAAUUCCAAACUCCUCUUGAGUUUGAAUGUUACUUUAUAGAGUAAGUUUCUUCAAGUUGAUCAAAUGCAACCAAUCUUUGUGUACAAAGGAAUGAUCACUUCCUCCUUGCCCCAAGCCACACUUGGUCAAGUUAAGAAGUUUUACUAUCACUCGGAUAACCCUCACAAAUCUACACUACUGAAGUAUUUUUCUCACACAAGAAAAGCUUAUACGAAAUUCACAUAACUAAGAGUACAAAUCUUCUUUGAAGAGAAUUUUCUCACUAAGAUUGCUCUAAAUCUUUUGUAGUCUCAAUGUGCAAAAGUACUUUGAACUAGUUGAUCAUGCUUUAUUUAUAUGAGAUCAAAAAAUUCUUCUAUUAAUGCUUCCAACGGAUAGAAGGUAGUUGAAGAGUCAACUAAUCGUUGGUAGUGUCGGACGUCCGGUAGUCUUAUUUCUUUCGUCCAACAGUAGGCAGUGAGCUUGAGAGAUUUUCUUCAAUUCUUUCGGAUGCCCGAUACCUUCAAUGUUUGCGUGCAAAAGCAGAUAGUGAAACUGAGAGAUCUUCUUCAAGCCUUUCGGACGUUUGGUACUUCCAAUGCUUUGCGUCUGAAGUGCCGCAUUAUUUAUCAGACGUCCGGUGCUCUUAUGUUUUGCGUCCGAUCGAGGUCAGUGAGGUUAGAGGAAAUGUUUUAAUUCCUUCAGACGUCCGGUGGUUAGUUCAUCAUGCGUCCGAAGUUGCGCAAUGAUUAUCGGACGUCCGAUCCAGUCUUCACAAGCGUCCAACAGCUUUCAGUACCCUUUGUCUCUUUCAAUUGUACUUAAUCUUUGAACCUGAUUUACUUCAUAGCUGAAAAGAUCUUUGAGGAGAUAUUAGUAAUAUCCAUUUGUUUUGUAAACAUCAAAAGCUAGAGACUAAGAUUAACGAUCUCCCCCUUUUUGAUGAUGACAAAACAAUGGAUGGAGGAAAAAUAAUUGAACCAAAACUCCCCCUCACUUAAUGCAUUCAAAAAGUUUUUAAGUGCUAACUCUCCUUCAGGAUAACUCCUCCUUACACAUUUACCAGUUUAUACUUUCUGGCAUUCCAACAUAAUCUCAACAACAUCUAUUCAAUCAACAUCCAUUUCUCCCCUUUUUUGUCAUCAUUAGAUGAUCUUAAAAAUAAUGGCAGCAAUCCAAUAUCAGAAAUCAACAUCAGAAAUCAUACAAUCAACAACCAGUCAACAUAUCCAAUACAAUAUAUCCAAUAUGUUCAAUCCAAUCAAUCAACAAUGGUAGAAAAUAUCCAAUCUAAUAUACCACAACAUACCAGAAAUGCAAUCCAAACACACGCACAAAAAAUUAAUAUGAGAAAUCAAGAGAGGUAUCAAAUAGAGAAAUACUAUAGCAAACUAACCAGAAACCAUUAAAGUUAACCAAUAUCCAUAGUACAGAGUACUUGAAAUGUCAAAAUACAAAAGAUACAAAUAUCUACUACGAAAUGCCAUCCUAGAAAUGAAGUGCAAGUGCCUAAAAUUGCCUAAAUGAUGAUCUUGGACGAUCCAGGCCUCCUCAUUGCUAGGCGAAACUGAGCAGGAUCCAUUUCUUCUUCAGUUUCCUCAUCAUCAUCACUGGCUUCAGUUGCAGGAGCCUUGCCCUUAUCUUGUGGCUGAGAACCUGAGGCAUGAACUUCAGGAGUGGACUCAGUAUGGGGCCCUUUGUCUUGUAGGAUAGGGAUGGAUUCAGUUGGCUCAGUCCGAGGCUCCUUCUAAUGUAUAUUUUCAUCUUCUUGAGGGAUAGGAGGUACAAGCAAAUUGUUUUUGUCAAUGAAGGUGGUUUGUUGCUCAGGUGACAUAGUCAUCAUCAAACCAUCUUCAAGAAGGAGAAUGUGUUGUUUAAGCUCCUCAAGCAAGGAGAUGACCUCAUGAGUGGAUGAGGAAGGCUGAGUUGAUGAUUUUUUGGGAUGGAUGGUGAAGGGUGAAACAUAUUGAUACUGAUCUCGGGGAGUUCUAGGGGUGACAGGGAUUUCAUGACGACUCUUUGUCCUAAACUCCAAAGCAGACUCCUUGUAGCACCAUGACCAUCAAAGAAUCUAAGAUUUUUUUCUUUCAAAAUAAGCUUUUGAAAAGAUGGUAGAUGCAUUCUCUUUUGGUAACAUUCCAGUGAAAGAAAUCUUAAAGUGAGCAAAGAUUGGAGUUAAAAAUUUUUCAUAAGAAAGAUUCCUACGGCUAUCAGUGCUGAUUUUGAGCAAGAAUUUACACAUAACAAAGUCGAAAUCAAUUCAGAUCUUUUCAAGAAAGCAAUAAAACAAGUAAAACUCUAUUUUGUUGGCAUCUGUCCUAUGACCAUCAGUAGGAACCAACAAAUUUGAAAUUAUUGAAAAGAUGAUCAAAUUUUGGGGAUUGAGAUCCUCCAAUUUUGCCUCAACAGGAGUGUUACAGUGUGUUUAAAAAUAAGUCAUCAAUUUUACAACAUGAAAAUAUUGAUAGGCAGAAGGAAACUCUUCAUAAGAGAAAAAGUUUAUAAUUUUUCCUUUAAAACCAUCUUCAAUUUUGGUCUUUAAAAUAGUAUUAACAAUGUCAGGAUUGAAAGCAAUAUCAACUGAAUUGACUCGAGAAUCAAGAUCAGUGUGUGAGCUACCCUUCCUAAGGUUAGCAAAGAAUUGAUGAAGCAUAUCAAGAUAAUAAAUGUUGGGAAUGGACAGAAUGUGAGUCCAUUUUUGGAAUUCAAAAAACUUAAGAAUUGGUUCAAGGUCAAGCUUAAGGAAUUCAUAAGGGAUAAUGGUCCUCUGAGUGAUGAAACCCUUCUGUGAAUCUAUUCAAACUUCUCCCUGGCAUCAUCAUCAAUAAAUUUAGGAAAUGGCGUAGGCUCUUCUUCAGUUUGAGUGUCAGGUUGCAUUUUGGCAGGGCAUUUCCUCUUUCCACCGCGUUGAGCAGCAGUUGGUACCUCAGUCCUUGUUCUUGGUGAUUUCCUAGUGGAAGGCUCAACAAAUGGCUUAACAGAAGGCUCGGUAGUUUGCUAUUCCUCAGUUUGAGCAGUUCGUUUCUUUCUGGCAGACUAUUUUCUUCUUUUAUCUGGAGUUUCCGUUCCUUGUCUGGGUGAUUUCGUGGUGGAAGGCUUGACAAUUUCAAUGUCUUCAUCUCUUAGCCUAGUAGUGCGUCCGGCACCAGCAGAUCCUUCUCUCACUCUAACCAUGGUGAUAUGCAAGGUGUUUUUGAUGCAGAGUGUAAUGAAAAAGUGUAUAAGAUGAACUAAGAUUGCAGUAUGGACUACAAUGUAUGCUUGAAUCUUCCAAAAAGAGUGAAUUUUGAGUGACUAGGGUUUCGGCUGAGAAUAGAGAUCUGUGGAAUGGUUGGCAGUUGGAGGAAGCUAUGAAUGCCAAUGAAAGCACAAAAGAGGUGUGAUGGUAAUGAAGAGAUCAAUUUCUUGGAACUUGUUCAGAGGAGAGAUGAAUUUGAAAUUUAAAAAUGGGAGAAGGGGAAAAUGUGCGUCCAAGACCAACGGUUGAAUAUGAACUAAAUGAAGGAGAGGACUGCUUUAUAAUACGCCUCUUUUGGGUGUCGGAUGGCCAAACGAAGAGAAGAGUCCGACACUCCAAUCCGAACCAAAAUUUUUCUGAAAAAAUGACUAAGAACACUGUCGGACAACCAUUCUAAUGCAUCGGACGUCCAAUAAAAUGUGACCAAAGGAUUUCUUAAAAAUCUUUUCUGAAACGCCCAAUUUUGUUCUAAAAAAUACAAAUUGAUCUAGUAGUAAGGCUUUUGUAAGAAUAUCAGCAAUUUGAUCUUUUGAGCAAACAUAUUGUACACAAAUUUCAUCCUUUUGGACAAAAUCACGAAUGAAAUGAUGCUUUAUGUCUAUAUUCUUUGUCCUAGAAUGUUGAAUGGGAUUUUUUAUCAAAGCUAUGGCACUUGUAUUAUCACAAUAUACAGGCACACAGUCAUACUCCAAUCCAUAAUCAUUUAAAGUACUUUUCAUCCAUAUCAAUUGAGCACAACAUACACCAGCAGCCAACAUAUUCCGCUUCGAUCGUAAACAAGGAGAUAGCAUUUUGUUUCUUACUAAGCCAUGACACUAGACAAUUCCAAAAAAGUGACAUGUACCACUUAUACUUUUUCUAUCUAUCCUACAUCCACCAAAAUCAGCAUCCGAAAAAUCACAUAAAGGAAAUUUAUGACAUCUCGGAUACCAAAGACCAUAGUUCAAGGUUCCCUUCAAAUAUCUAAGAAUUCUUUUCACAGCAAUCAAAUGAGAUUCUUUUGGACAAGAUUAGAAACGAGCACACAAGCAAACAAUGAACAUAAUAUCAGGUCUACUUGCGAUUAAAUAGAGUAAGCUACCAAUCAUACCUCUAUACUUCUUUUCAUCAACUUUUAUACCUUCUUCAUCCUUGUCAAAUUUGGUAGAUGUACACAUGGAUGUUCCAACUUGCUUUGAAUCCUCCAUUUCAAAUCUUUUGAGCACCUCCUUGGUGUAUUUAGCUUGUUUGAUGAACGUACCUUCUCGAGUUUGAACCACUUGGAACCCAAGGAAGAAAUUCAAUUCUCCCAUCAUACUCAUCUCAAACUCUUUUUGCAUAAUAGUAAAAAAAUCCUUGCACAAGCACUCAUUAGUGGCACCAAAGAUAAUAUCAUCCACAUAUAUUUGCACAAUUAAAAGGUCAUUUGAACUUUGUUUAGUGAAAAGAGUGGUAUCAACAAUACCUCUUCUAAAAUUAUUUUCAAUCAAAAAAUCGUUUAAACGUUCAUACCAUACUCUUGGAACUUGUUUCAAUCCAUACAACGCUUUUGAGAGUUUAAACACAUUAUUUGGAUAUGUCUCAUUUUCAAAACCGGAAGGUUAGUCAACAUAAAUCUCUUGAUCAAUAAAACCAUUUAAGAAAGCACUUUUAACAUCCAUUUGAAAUAAUUUAAAAUCCUGGUAACAUGCAAAUGCCAAGAAUAUUCUAAUUGAUUCUAACCUAGCUACGGGAGCAAAUGUUUCAUCAAAAUCUAUUCUUUCUUCUUGAGUAUUCCCCUUAGUUACAAGUCUAUCCUUAUUUCUCACAACUUCACCUUUGUCAUUCAUUCUUUUUCUCUUGAAGAUAAUAUUAAAUUUUGAAUAAAAAACAAGACAUUCAUGCUUUUGGAAUAACACAAAAGGAUUUCUAUCACACAAUUGACUAACACUUAACAAGUUAUAACUCAAAUUAUCAACUAGAAGAAUAUUGUGAACAAAAAUUUGAUCAUUCUUACCAAUAUCUCCUACUCCAACUGUUUUGGCUUUAUUAUCAUCUCCAAAUGUCAUUUUUUCACUUGAUUUUGGUUUGAACUUGAUGAAUUGUGAUGGAUCACCGGUCAUGUGCCUUAAAUAUCCACUAUCUAUAAACCAUUUUGAUUCCUUAAAAAUAUUCACCAAGUUCACCUACACAAAAAUUCACAAGAUAAUAUUUGGUACUCUUUACUUUUUGGAUUCUUGAGAGUUAGUAUUAUAUCUAACUAUCCAUAUGCAUUUCAUGUCAUUUUUCAUAUUCUUCCUUACAUAGCAAUUACUCUUCAUGUGACCAAUUUGGCAAUAAAAACUACACAUAGUCAACGAAUUACUUGCAUGGAUAGGUUUAACAAAUCUAACUUGCCUUCUCUUAUAAAUGGUAAAUUCGUUUGCAUUAGAAUUCAACCUUUUCUCAUGAAUGCCAAAAUGAGGUUUUGAUUCAUUUCUUUGAAAACAGUUUUGUUUCUUGUGUUGAAGCAACUCAUUAGGAUUAUCCAUUCUUAUUUUCAAAUCCCCUUGUUCCUUUUUGAGCAUCUCACAAAGCUUUAUUUUUCUAUCAAACUCAAAGAGUAAAACAGUCUCAUUCUUUUUGAAGUAGUCAUUUUCAACUUUCAACUUUUUAUUUUGUUGAAAAAGAUUUGCAUUGUCUUGAAACAAAAAACUAAUUUUCUGUUUUAGUUCCUUGUUUCUAGCAUAAGAUUUUUUCAAACUAUCAUGCAAUCUCUCAAUCAAAGAUUCAAUAUUAUCACUAACAGGUUGAGAAUUGCAAGUAGUUACCUCAUCAUCACCGAUAGCCAUGAAAGUCAUUUGAACAGAUUCUUCUUCCUCUUCAACAUCACCAUCCGAGUUGCAAUCAUUGCAUGUGAUUUGAAAAUUGUUGAACUUUAGUUUUCAUUCAACUUUUCCUUCUUUCUUCUUUUUCAUUGGGCACUCACUCAUGUAGUGUCCAAGUUUGCCGCACUCAAAGCAUUUAUCAGCUUAUUUUUUAUUGGCCUCUUGCUUUCCUUUGUUUCUUGUAUUGUUGAACUGAUUUGGAAAUGAAUUACUAGGUCUUCCUUUUCUAAAUCUCCUUUUGUUGAGGAUUCUUUUGAAGUUUCUUAUGAUGAGAUCAAUAUCAUUGUCAUCAACUUCCACAUCUUCUCCAUCCAAGAAAAUCGAAUCAUCUUCAUCUUGAGAAGUUUUUAGAGCAAUGCUCCUUCUCACUUUUGCAUCCUCUUUCUCUUGCACCUUAGUCUUAAGUUUUAGCUCAUAAGAGGUUAGAGAAUUAACAAGAGAUUCAAUAGGCAUAGAAUUUAAAUCUUUAGUCUCUUCAAUGGCAGUCGCCUUACUUUCCCAAUUCUUGGACAGGACAUUCAAAAUUUUUCUAUUUUUCUCACCUAGGGAGUAUUUUUUUUCAUACUUGGUAACUAGAAUUGAUUUCUUUUGUUCUCUCACAUUUUCACUUCCUUCAUGAAUUUCUCUCAAUUUAUCUCAAAUUUCUUUAGUGGACCUACAGUUUUUGACUCUAAUAGACUCAUUUGAAUCUAAAACACUAUACAACACAUUCAUAGCCUCGGUAUUCAAAGUGAGGUGGGUUCUAUUUUCACCAGUCAAUUCAUUUCUGAUUUUUUGUCUUGGUCUGUGAGUAACUUCAUCUAUUAUAGAGGCAUCAUAUGAACCUUCAUUAACAACAAAUCACAGUUCAAUAUAAAUAGAUUGCAAGAAAAUAAUCAUUCUUUCCUUCCAACUCACACAAUUGGAUCCAUUAAACAUUGGUCUACUAAUAGAUUGUCCUUCAAAAAAUAUAGUAUUGUUGGUUGUCAUUUUACUCCAAAUCUGUUUGAACUUAAUUUCUAGGAGACCAAAUUCUGAUACCAAUUGUAAAGAUUGAACACAACCUAAGAAGGGGGUGAAUUAGGUAAAUUAAAAAACUAAUCAGGUUAUGAGACACUUUUUGGCUCAAUAUGAAAUUUACCCUCUUUUCUAGAUGACCACUCAAUGGAACAGUUAACAAGAAAGCAAGAUUGCUUGUUAGUAGAAGAGAUGAGCAAUUUAUAUUUGCAAGACAGUAAGUAAUAGGAAAAGAAUAGCAAACUAAAUUCUCAACUCCUCUUGAGCUUGAAUGUUACUUUAUAGAGCAAGUUUUUUCAAGUUGAUCAAAUGCAACCAAUCUUUAUGUACAAAGGAAGGAUCACUUCCUCCUUACCCCAAACCACACUUGGUCAAGUUAGGAAAUUUUACUAUCACUCGGAUAACCCUCACAAAGCUACACUAUUGAAGUAUUUUUCUCACACAAGAAAAGUUUAUACGAAAUUCACACAACUAAGAGUACAAAUCUUCUUUGAAGAGAAUUUUCUCACUAAAAUUACUCUAGAACUUUUGUAGUCUCAAUGUGUAAAAGUACUUUGAAGUAGUUGACCAUGCUCUAUUUAUAUGAGACCAAAAAGUUCCUCUAUUAAUACUUCCAACGGAUAGAAGGCAGCUGAAGAGUCAACUAGCCAUUGGUAGUGUCGGACGUCCGGUAGUCUUGUUUCUUACGUCCGACAGUAGGCAGUGAGGUUGAGAGAUUUUCUUCAAUUCUUUCGGAUGUCUGGUACCUUCAAUGUUUGUGUCCGAAAGUAGAUAGUGAAACUGAGAGAUCUUCUUCAAGCCUUUCAGACGUCCAAUACCUCCAAUAUUUUGCAUCCGAAGUGCCGCAUUAUUUAUCGGACGUCCGGUGCUCUUAUAUUUUGCGUCCGAUCGAGGUCAAUGACCUUAGAGGAAAUGUUUUAAUUCUUUGGGAGGUCCAGUGGUGAGUUCAUCAUGCGUCCGAAGUUGCGUAAUGAUUAUCGGACGUCCGAUCCAAUCUUCACAAGCGUCCGACAGCUUUCAGUACCCUUUGUCUCUUUCAAUUGUACUUAAUCUUUGAAUCUGAUUUGCUUCAUGACUGAAAAGAUCUUUGAGCAGAUAUUAGUAAUAUCCAUUUGUUUGGUAAACAUCAAAAGCUAGGGACUAAGAUUAACAAAAAGUACUUCUUGGAGAAUUUCACUAGUUUAUACUCAAACAUUUGGAAUCUUUAGUUUUAACAUUUACUAUGGAAAUUAGUGGAGUUUUGAUGAAUUCUAACUCCAUUAGUUUAGAAAAUGUGAACGUUCCUUAUAUUUUUAAAACUUGGACGUAGGACUAGAAGUUUUGAAAGAUGAAACCAUUUUUUUCUCGAUUUUUGUGCCAAAAGUGUAUAUAAUAUUUUUUUUUGGAAUUGAAAUUUCUUGUCACGACUUGAAUUGAAAACAACCUUUGAGUUCUCUUUGAGUAUUAUUUCAAUGAUUUAGUGAGAAAAGCUCCUUUAACUUGACUCGACUUGUGACCUUGAGAGUGGGUAGCAAGAAAAUAUUUUUCUUUAUAACCUUGGUCGAGUACCUAGGUAAUAAUGAUUGUGCAUAUCUCAGGUGGUCGCGAGGACGCCGAAGAGCUCAUCUGACUUCUCGCUUUGCUCUUGUUUUCCCUUGACUUUUGAUGAGUGUCAAGUGCAUGACUUGUUGCAUAAUACUUGAACUACUUCUUGUUGAAUAUGUGAAUUGGACUUGUCGAGAUGAGUGUGUACUUUAUCGCACUCGUUCUCUUUUACUUGACUUGAUAAUUGACCUGCUCGUACUUGACAAUUAUACUUGUGAUUGACUUGGCGUCGAUUUGAAAGCAAUCUCAUCGACUUAUACUUGAACUUGUGGGGACGCCCAAAACUAAUGGCUAGCCAUUCAACUCAAGCCAGCAAUGGUUUGGUUGAGGAGUUUGGUGAACCUUAGACAUACACUUGACUUGGAUAUACUCGAUUAAUAUCAAAAACUUAUUUGACAUUCGGGCCAGUAGGGGGUGUAAUGGUGGACAAAAAUUUGGUGAAAAGUGGGGCUCUACGGACUUGAUACUUGCUCGGUUGACGGAGUGUCAACACUUGAAAUUUUGGAUCAAGACCUUCGCAAAGCAGUGUGGAGUUAGCUCCUGAGAGCUUCCGUAUCCUUUAAUGAUUGUGUCUUGUUUUCUUUUGUGAAUUUCAUGAAUAUUAUGACUGCCUUUCUUUUAUAAGUUUAAUACUUGUUGUACUUGCUUGCUCGCCGAUUUUUUGUUCCUUGGCCUCACUGAGCGUUAGUUCAUCCCUUUAAGUUUGUUUUCUUUAACAGGGUUUGGAGGUGGAAAUUGGAGGUUCUAGACUAGCGACUUUUGGUGGAAACUAAUAUACCUUUUGUAUGUUAUUGGAGAUUCUUAAAGUGUAAAUUCUGUUAUUUUUGGGUAUGGUGGAUUGUAAUUGUAAUUGCUAGCCUUAGAAGUUGUGGCUUAUAUAUUCGAAGUACUUCUUAUUUAAGUCGAUGGUUGACUUGUGGUUUUUUAUUAAACUUGAAUGAGUGCGUGAGUCCUGGUGAGAGUUAGGUAGGCGGCCCACCAAAACCCUAGGAUUUGCCCUAAGAAGAAGUGGGGUCAUCACACCUUGUAACUACAAAAUGACCCUUACUGAUUUCAUUAAAUUAUUUAUGUUUUUGUUGGAAAAAUGUAGAAUGACUAAGCAUAAACAUCUUUAUUUUAGUGACCACAUAUUACUUGUGCUUUUAUCACUAGUUAGAAUAAGACCAGUGAUUAAAAGAAAAAAAAAG